UACAGAGGGUGCGAGCGUUAAUCGGAAUUACUGGGCGUAAAGCGUGCGUAGACGGCUAUCUAAGUCGGGUGUGAAAGCCCCGGGCUCAACCUGGGAAUUGCAUUUGAGACUGAAUAGCUAGGGUGCGGAAGAGGGAAGCGGAAUUUCCGGUGUAGCGGUGAAAUGCGUAGAUAUCGGAAGGAACACCAGUGGCGAAAGCGGCUUCCUGGUCCAGCACCGACGUUCAGGCACGAAAGCGUGGGGAGCAAACAGG
RNAcentral lists this ribosomal RNA (253 nucleotides) under uncultured bacterium. RNAcentral describes it as "partial 16S ribosomal RNA". It matches the Rfam family "Bacterial small subunit ribosomal RNA", at positions 524 to 776 of the family's 1533-position model. The record is from RNAcentral.